UGGAGCGUGUGGUUUAAUUCGAUGCUACGCGAAGAACCUUACCUGGGUUUGACAUAGGGGUAGUAGCAAGGUGAAAGCUGCGCGACCCUUCGGGGAGCCUCUACAGGUGCUGCAUGGCUGUCGUCAGCUCGUGUCGUGAGAUGUUGGGUUAAGUCCCGCAACGAGCGCAACCCUCGUCGUUAGUUACAAGUGUCUAACGGGACUGCCGGUUUCAAACCGGAGGAAGGUGGGGAUGACGUCAAGUCAGCAUGGCCUUUAUAUCUUGGGCA
Molecule: ribosomal RNA, 269 nt
Filed under: uncultured bacterium
Lineage: Bacteria
Description: partial 16S ribosomal RNA
Rfam family: Bacterial small subunit ribosomal RNA
Source: RNAcentral